UAGAGAAGUCAAUGAUGGUUACACCCACAAUGUCUGAACCUAUCUGAAGCAUCUCAGUGAUGCAGUCUAUGGCUCUGAGACUUCCCUACUU
Small nucleolar RNA from Mesocricetus auratus (golden hamster), 91 nucleotides. Ensembl annotates it as small nucleolar RNA, C/D box 91A. Its record names the gene Snord91a. The record is from Ensembl. Lineage: Eukaryota; Metazoa; Chordata; Mammalia; Rodentia; Cricetidae.